This 594-nucleotide ribosomal RNA is filed under the name uncultured bacterium. Its description in RNAcentral is "bacterial SSU rRNA". It matches the Rfam family "Bacterial small subunit ribosomal RNA", at positions 60 to 649 of the family's 1533-position model. The record is from RNAcentral.
AGUCGAGCGGUAGAGAGAAGCUUGCUUCUCUUGAGAGCGGCGGACGGGUGAGUAAUGCCUAGGAAUCUGCCUGGUAGUGGGGGAUAACGUUCGGAAACGGACGCUAAUACCGCAUACGUCCUACGGGAGAAAGCAGGGGACCUUCGGGCCUUGCGCUAUCAGAUGAGCCUAGGUCGGAUUAGCUAGUUGGUGGGGUAAUGGCUCACCAAGGCGACGAUCCGCAACUGGUCUGAGAGGAUGAUCAGUCACACUGGAACUGAGACACGGUCCAGACUCCUACGGGAGGCAGCAGUGGGGAAUAUUGGACAAUGGGCGAAAGCCUGAUCCAGCCAUGCCGCGUGUGUGAAGAAGGUCUUCGGAUUGUAAAGCACUUUAAGUUGGGAGGAAGGGCAGUAAAUUAAUACUUUGCUGUUUUGACGUUACCGACAGAAUAAGCACCGGCUAACUCUGUGCCAGCAGCCGCGGUAAUACAGAGGGUGCAAGCGUUAAUCGGAAUUACUGGGCGUAAAGCGCGCGUAGGUGGUUAGUUAAGUUGGAUGUGAAAUCCCCGGGCUCAACCUGGGAACUGCAUUCAAAACUGACUGACUAGAGUAU